AAAAAUGAAAUUGUAAAUAAAGUGAAUAUAGUAUUUAUACUGAAGGUAAAAAGUCACAGUCUCGUAAGUCUUCUCUUUCUCUCUCUCUCUAUCUAUCUCUCUUUCUCCAGGAGGAUGAGCUAGGGUUUGUGUUCGUCCCCAAAAUCUAGGGUUUCGAACAAUCAUUUUCGCUACGUCUGGAACAAUCUGGCACAAUGUGCGUGGAUUUCGGAUUCCGCCAUUGAAAUAGCUGCGAAAUCUGUUUGCAUUUUGAUCUUAAGGAAAAGAACCCUAGCGGUGAUGGCGAAGACGAGGCCUGGGAAAAGAGACUUGGAUUCGUACACCAUCAAAGGCACCAACAAGGUGGUGAGAGCUGGUGAUUGCGUGUUGAUGCGGCCAUCGGACACCGAUAAGCCAUCUUACGUAGCGCGUGUGGAGAAGAUUGAGGCCGAUAAUCGGAACAACGUGAAGGUUCGGGUGCGGUGGUAUUAUCGGCCGGAGGAGUCGAUUGGUGGGCGGAGGCAGUUCCAUGGAGCAAAGGAGUUGUUUUUGUCGGACCAUUAUGAUGUGCAGAGUGCUCAUACUAUUGAAGGGAAGUGCACUGUUCACUCCUUCAAGAACUAUACUAAGCUUGAAAAUGUUGGGGCUGAGGAUUACUAUUGUCGGUUCGAGUAUAAGGCAGCUACUGGGGGUUUCACGCCGGACCGAGUUGCUGUGUAUUGCAAAUGCGAGAUGCCUUAUAACCCAGAUGAUCUUAUGGUCCAGUGCGAGGGGUGCAAGGACUGGUAUCAUCCUGUUUGUGUUGAAAUGACUAUUGAAGCAGCAAAAAAACUAGAUCACUUUCUGUGUUCUGAUUGUUCUGAUGAUGAGGCCAAAAGAUCCCAGAAUGCAUUUCCUACAUCGCCGACAGCUGACACCAAGGUUAAGGAAAAUAAAAUAUAGAUAGAGGGAGCCCAAGAAGGGGGCCACCUCCCAAAUACAUGGGAGCUAUACAAGUACUUCUGAGAAGAGGUGGAGCCAAAGCGUAGGAAGAGAUGAGCACAUCCAGAGGCCAGGAGUUGUGGUGCAAGGCUUGACUCUUACACAUUUAGCUCUUGCAUUGUUGUUGUGUGAGUUGUACAGUGCAGAGAACCAUGCUGUGCUUUGCUCAGACUGGAGGCUUCUAGUAAUUUAUGUCUUUUGUCUCUGGAGAUAUGUAUGCAAUGCUAGAUUUAGGAUAUUACUUUGUAAUAUACAUUCUGUGCAGAAAGAUGAUUCAGAUUUAAGGCGACUUCUCUAAGAACACUCUGAACCCAAAGGUUUGUGGUAAAAAAAACCAUGGAUUCCCAGUUUUUGGUA
This is an RNA transcript of Vitis riparia (riverbank grape), 1317 nucleotides long. It is a transcript of the gene named chromatin remodeling protein EBS, with no coding region annotated. The record is from RefSeq and is a predicted model, not a curated record. Lineage: Eukaryota; Viridiplantae; Streptophyta; Magnoliopsida; Vitales; Vitaceae. The transcript is spliced from 6 exons.